Molecule: ribosomal RNA, 1448 nt
Filed under: uncultured Bordetella sp.
Lineage: Bacteria; Pseudomonadati; Pseudomonadota; Betaproteobacteria; Burkholderiales; Alcaligenaceae
Description: partial 16S-23S ribosomal RNA intergenic spacer
Rfam family: Bacterial small subunit ribosomal RNA
Source: RNAcentral
GUUUGAUCUGCUCAGAUUGAACGCUGGCGGAUGCUUCCACAUGCAAGUCGAACGGCAGCACGGACCUGGUCUGGUGGCGAGUGGCAGAACUGGGUGAGUAAUGUAUCGGAACGUUUUCGUAGCGGGAGAUAACUACCGCCGGCGCCUUCGCCCUGCACCGCCUUCGGGGGAAAGCGGAGACCUUCGGGCCUCACUAUUAGAGCGGCCGAUAUCGGAUUAGCUAGUUGGUGGAGUAACGGCUCACCAGGCGACGAUCCGUAGCUGGUUUGAGAGGACGACCGAAAGCCACACCAAGGACUGAGACACGGCCAGACUCCUACGGGAAGGCAGCAGUGGGGAAUUUUGGACAAUGGAAACCCUGAUCCAGCCAUCCCGUGUGCGAUGAAGGCCUUCAGGUUGUAAAGCACUUUUGGCAGGAAAGAAGCUGGCACGGGAUAUGCCCGUGCAACUGACGGUACCUGCAGAUAAGCACCGGCUAACUACGUGCCAGCAGCCCGCUGAUGGCCAUCAGGAAUUAAGCGAUUAAUCGGAAUUACUGGGCGUAAAGCGUGCGCAGGCGGUUCGGAAAGAAAGAUGUGAGCAUCAGAGCUUAACUUUGGAACUGCAUUUUUAACUACCGAGCUAGAGUGUGUCAGAGGGAGGUGGAAUUCCGCGUGUAGCAGUGAAAUGCGUAGAUAUGCGGAGGAACACCGAUAGCGAAAACAGCCUCCUGGGAUAACGACGCUCAUACGAAAGCGUGGGGAGCAAACAGGAUUAGAUACCUGGUAGUCCACGCCUAAACGAUGUCAACUAGCUGUUGGGGCCAGCCUGGGCCUUGGUAGCCUGUGCGUGAAGUUGACCGCCUGGGAGUACGGUCGCAAGAUUAAAACUCAAAGGAAUUGACGGGGACCCACACAAGCGGUGGAUGAUGUGGAUUAAUUCGAUGCAACGCGAAAAACCUUACCCUUGACAUGUGGAAUCCCGAAGAGAUUUGGGAGUGCUCGCAAGAGAACCGGAACACAGGUGCUGCAUGGCUGUCGUCAGCUCGUGUCUGAGAUGUUGGUUAAGUCCGCAACGAGCGCAACCCGCGCCGUAUUAGUUGCUACGAAGGGCACUCUAAUGAGACUGCCGGUGACAAAACCGGAGGAAGGUGAAAUGACGUCAAGUCCUCAUGGCCCUUAUGGGUAGGGCUUCACACGUCAUACAAUGGUCGGGACAGAGGGUCGCCAGCCCGCGAAGGGGAGCCAAUCCGAAACUUGAUCCGUAGUCCGGAUCUCAGUCUGCAACUCGACUGCGUGAAGUCGGAAUCGCUAGUAAUCGCGGAUCGGCAUGUCGCGGUGAAUACGUUCCGGGUCUUGUACACACCGCCCGUCACACCAUGGGAGUGGGUUUUACCAGAAGUAGUUAGCCGUAAGGAGGGCGAUUACCACGGUAGGAUUCAUGACUGGGGUGGAAGUCGUAACAAGUCA